Molecule: unclassified non-coding RNA, 340 nt
Filed under: Hevea brasiliensis (rubber tree)
Lineage: Eukaryota; Viridiplantae; Streptophyta; Magnoliopsida; Malpighiales; Euphorbiaceae
Source: RNAcentral
GGAAACAAAGAUGAAACUAAAUAAGAAAGAAUGAUAUGACCAGUCUCCUAUCCUGUGGAGGGGAGAUGUUAUACAUGCAUGUGGAAUGUUUAAUAGAUUGCUCUAUGCUUCUAUUGAAAGAAGAAAGGGGCAGAUGUACCUUGACAUUUGCUUAGAUGUCCAUUUAGAAUGACAUUUUCUAAAGUAGAAUGGCAUAUUAUGUUGCCUAAUGCUCAGGAUCCUUCUAAUGCAGUGUCUUUGCAGCUGCAAGUUUAAUGGAAAGUCAUUCUGUUGAUUGAACUCUGUUCUUCUAUUUGCCAAGAAUCUUUCAGAUCAUUGGUUUUCAAUUACAUUCAAAAUU